This 24-nucleotide non-coding RNA is filed under the name Ophiophagus hannah (king cobra). Its record names the gene oha-miR-100-5p. RNAcentral also lists the same sequence under 2 other names. The record is from miRBase by way of RNAcentral. Lineage: Eukaryota; Metazoa; Chordata; Lepidosauria; Squamata; Elapidae.
AACCCGUAGAUCCGAACUUGUGCU